GACGAACGCUGGCGGCGUGCUUAACACAUGCAAGUCGAACGGAAAGGCCCUGCUUUUGUGGGGUGCUCGAGUGGCGAACGGGUGAGUAACACGUGAGUAACCUGCCCUUGACUUUGGGAUAACUUCAGGAAACUCGGGCUCAUACCGGAUAUGAGCUCCUGCUGCAUGGUGGUGGUUGGAAAGUUUCGGCCGUGCGGGCUGGACUCGCGGCUUAUCAGCUUGUUAGUGUGGUAGUGGUUUACCAAGGGUGUGACGGGUAGGCGGCCUGAGAGGGGUGCCGGCGACCUGGGGACUGAGAUACGGACCAGACUCCUACGGGAGGCAGCAGGCGGGAAUAUUACGCAACGGGCGGGAGCCUGAUGCAGCAACGCCGCGUGCGUGAUGACGGCCUUCGGGGUGUAAACCGCUUUCGCCGGUGACGAAGCGUGAGUGACGGUAAUGGGUAAAGAAGCACCGGCUAACUACGUG
Molecule: ribosomal RNA, 468 nt
Filed under: uncultured bacterium
Lineage: Bacteria
Description: partial 16S ribosomal RNA
Rfam family: Bacterial small subunit ribosomal RNA
Source: RNAcentral